This 70-nucleotide transfer RNA is filed under the name Heterocephalus glaber (naked mole-rat). It matches the Rfam family "tRNA". Rfam says of the family: Transfer RNA (tRNA) molecules are approximately 80 nucleotides in length. Their secondary structure includes four short double-helical elements and three loops (D, anti-codon, and T loops). The record is from Rfam by way of RNAcentral. Lineage: Eukaryota; Metazoa; Chordata; Mammalia; Rodentia; Bathyergidae.
GGGGAUAUAGCUAAGCAGGCACAGUGCCUGCCUGGCAAGCACGAGGCCCUGGGUUCCAUUCCCAGUACCA